CGGGUGAGUAACGCGUAAACAACCUGCCCUUCGGAUGGGGACAACAGCUGGAAACGGCUGCUAAUACCGAAUACGUUCUUUUCAUCGCAUGGUGAGAAGAAGAAAGGACGGCCUCUACACAAAGCGGUCGCCGAAGGAGGGGUUUGCGUCUGAUUAGCUAGUUGGAGGGGUAACGGCCCAACAAGGCGACGAUCAGUAGCCGGUCUGAGAGGAUGAACGGCCACAUUGGGACUGAGACACGGCCCAGACUCCUACGGGAGGCAGCAGCU
This 269-nucleotide ribosomal RNA is filed under the name uncultured Dialister sp. Its description in RNAcentral is "partial 16S ribosomal RNA". It matches the Rfam family "Bacterial small subunit ribosomal RNA", at positions 103 to 355 of the family's 1533-position model. Lineage: Bacteria; Bacillati; Bacillota; Negativicutes; Veillonellales; Veillonellaceae. The record is from RNAcentral.